RNAcentral lists this transfer RNA (71 nucleotides) under Aphanocapsa feldmannii 277cV. RNAcentral's name for it is "tRNA-Gly". It matches the Rfam family "tRNA". From Rfam's summary of the family: Transfer RNA (tRNA) molecules are approximately 80 nucleotides in length. Their secondary structure includes four short double-helical elements and three loops (D, anti-codon, and T loops). Further hydrogen bonds mediate the characteristic L-shaped molecular structure. tRNAs have two regions of fundamental functional importance: the anti-codon, which is responsible for specific mRNA codon recognition, and the 3' end, to which the tRNAs corresponding amino acid is attached (by aminoacyl-tRNA synthetases). tRNAs cope with the degeneracy of the genetic code in two manners: having more than one tRNA (with a specific anti-codon) for a particular amino acid; and 'wobble' base-pairing, i.e. permitting non-standard base-pairing at the 3rd anti-codon position. Lineage: Bacteria; Bacillati; Cyanobacteriota; Cyanophyceae; Chroococcales; Microcystaceae. RNAcentral also lists the same sequence under 2 other names. The record is from RNAcentral.
GCGGGCAUAGUUUAGUGGUAAAACCUCAGCCUUCCAAGCUGAUGAUGGGGGUUCGAUUCCCCUUGCCCGCU